Molecule: small nucleolar RNA, 84 nt
Organism: Lottia gigantea (owl limpet)
Lineage: Eukaryota; Metazoa; Mollusca; Gastropoda; Lottiidae
Source: Rfam
UCUGUCAGUGAUGAUUAUGUUAAUUUCACUAAAUUGAAAAUUAUUUAAUGAAAAUUGUAUACAUGCACCACCAUCUGAGACAGA